AGCGAACGUUAGCGGCGGGCCUAACACAUGCAAGUCGAACGGGCGUAGCAAUACGUCAGUGGCGGACGGGUGAGUAACACGUGGGAAUAUGCCUUUCGGUUCGGAACAACUCGGGGAAACCCGUGCUAAUUCCGGAUACGCCCUUACGGGGAAGAUUUAUCGCCGAAAGAUUAGCCCGCGUUGGAUUAGCUAGUUGGUGAGGUAACGGCCCACCAAGGCAACGAUCCAUAGCUGGUUUGAGAGAACGACCAGCCACACUGGGACUGAGACACGGCCCAGACUCCUACGGGAGGCAGCAGUGGGGAAUCUUGGACAAUGGGGGAAACCCUGAUCCAGCCAUGCCGCGUGAGUGAUGAAGGCCUUCGGUUGUAAAC
Molecule: ribosomal RNA, 374 nt
Filed under: uncultured bacterium
Lineage: Bacteria
Description: bacterial SSU rRNA
Rfam family: Bacterial small subunit ribosomal RNA
Source: RNAcentral